CGACCUACGGGAGGCAGCAGUGGGGAAUAUUGGGCAAUGGGCGCAAGCCUGACCCAGCAAUGCCGCGUGAGUGAUGACGGCCUUCGGGUUGUAAAGCUCUGUCUUCAGGGACGAUAAUGACGGUACCUGAGGAGGAAGCCACGGCUAACUACGUGCCAGCAGCCGCGGUAAUACGUAGGUGGCAAGCGUUGUCCGGAUUUACUGGGUGUAAAGGGCGUGCAGCCGGGCUGACAAGUCAGAUGUGAAAUCCCGCGGCUCAACCGCGGAACUGCAUUUGAAACUGUCAGUCUUGAGUACCGGAGAGG
RNAcentral lists this ribosomal RNA (305 nucleotides) under uncultured bacterium. Its description in RNAcentral is "bacterial SSU rRNA". It matches the Rfam family "Bacterial small subunit ribosomal RNA", at positions 333 to 657 of the family's 1533-position model. The record is from RNAcentral.